This 349-nucleotide ribosomal RNA is filed under the name uncultured Leptolinea sp. Its description in RNAcentral is "bacterial SSU rRNA". It matches the Rfam family "Bacterial small subunit ribosomal RNA", at positions 1019 to 1382 of the family's 1533-position model. The record is from RNAcentral. Lineage: Bacteria; Bacillati; Chloroflexota; Anaerolineae; Anaerolineales; Anaerolineaceae.
UUCGGGGAGCCUUAUACAGGUGUUGCAUGGCUGUCGUCAGCUCGUGUCGUGAGAUGUUCGGUUAAGUCCGCUAACGAGCGCAACCCUCGCUGUGUGUUACAAGUGUCACACGGUACUGCCGGUCUUAAGCCGGAGGAAGGUGGGGAUGACGUCAAGUCAGCAUGGCCUUUAUGUCCUGGGCUACACACACGCUACAAUGGCCAACACAAUAGGUUGCUAAGCCGCGAGGUGGAGCCAAUCCUCAAAGUUGGUCUCAGUUCAGAUUGCAGGCUGCAACCCGCCUGCAUGAAGAUGGAGUUGCUAGUAACCGCAGGUCAGCUAUACUGCGGUGAAUACGUUCCCGGGGCUU